ACAAAUCCAUCAUUACUACAUACAAAUAAACAUCCAUAAUUCCAUAAGGCAAAAGGCAAGUUCUAAGGGAUAAACAAGGAAAGAAAGAAAAAAAAUAUUUCCAAGAACAGCCAAUGAGAAAUAAUGUUACAGACCAAAAGCAAACAAGGCAAAGUUAAACCACCCUUCUUAAGACAAACAGCACCAGACAAUUUCUAUUUAUCGAAUCAGCUCACAGAAAAUGGUCGAUGUGUAUCACUUCAUGUCUCUCUUUGUCUAGAUCAAUUUAUUAAUUUGCCAUUGCACUUCUGAUAUCUAGGAAAAUCCAUUGGCUCAAAAGACACCAUCAGCUUCAACUCUGAAAUUAUGCAUGGUUGACUAUACAAGUUGUUUUAACCUCCAAACAUGGAAAAAUUUCUCAAGCCUGCAAGUACGCAUAUAACAUCUCAAGAAUGGAAUGAUAAACAAACUCUGCGAAAAAUAAAAUAAAAUACUACAUGUAAAAAAAAAUAAAAAAAAAAUUAAACUGAACACAAUAACUUACAGCAACAUUUAGUAAUCUAAUUCAUGGAUACAAAGAAAACAUUGACUUGAUUUGCUUUCUCUUAUGAGCUUUAGUAUUAUUAAACUGCAGCAUCCUAUCAAGUGCCUACAAGAAUCGGAAGAUAUUUUCUGAAACCCCAUAUUUUUAGAAUAAAUAAAGAGAAAACAAUAUCAGCAAAAUUGUUAAAACAUUAGUCAAAUUGUUGAGAAUAUAAAAUCUCACAUCCAUUAUUCUAAGCCUUGCAUUGCAGUAUAUAAAAUUAUGAACCUCUUCAUCCAUUAUCACCAUAGUACUAGACUUCAC
RNAcentral lists this long non-coding RNA (826 nucleotides) under Prunus persica (peach). RNAcentral describes it as "long non-coding RNA (PPER_LNC000095)". Lineage: Eukaryota; Viridiplantae; Streptophyta; Magnoliopsida; Rosales; Rosaceae. The record is from RNAcentral.